AUUGAACGCUGGCGGCAGGCCUAACACAUGCAAGUCGAGCGGAUGAAGGGAGCUUGCUCCUGGAUUCAGCGGCGGACGGGUGAGUAAUGCCUAGGAAUCUGCCUGGUAGUGGGGGAUAACGUCCGGAAACGGGCGCUAAUACCGCAUACGUCCUGCGGGAGAAAGUGGGGGAUCUUCGGACCUCACGCUCUCAGAUGAGCCUAGGUCGGAUUAGCUAGUUGGUGGGGUAAAGGCCUACCAAGGCGACGAUCCGUAACUGGUCUGAGAGGAUGAUCAGUCACACUGGAACUGAGACACGGUCCAGACUCCUACGGGAGGCAGCAGUGGGGAAUAGUGGACAAUGGGCGAAAGCCUGAUCCAGCCAUGCCGCGUGUGUGAAGAAGGUCUUCGGAUUGUAAAGCACUUUAAGUUGGGAGGAAGGGCAGUAAGUUAAUACCUUGCUGUUGUGACGUUACCAACAGAAUAAGCACCGGCUAACUUCGUG
This 484-nucleotide ribosomal RNA is filed under the name uncultured bacterium. RNAcentral describes it as "partial 16S ribosomal RNA". It matches the Rfam family "Bacterial small subunit ribosomal RNA", at positions 30 to 507 of the family's 1533-position model. The record is from RNAcentral.